GUGAGUCAUCGAAUCUUUGAACGCACAUUGCGCCCGCCAGUAUUCUGGCGGGCAUGCCUGUUCGAGCGUCAUUUCAACCCUCAAGCCCCCGGGCUUGGUGUUGGGGAUCGGCGAGCCUCUGCGCCCGCCGUCCCCUAAAUUUAGUGGCGGUCACGUUGUAACUUCCUCUGCGUAGUAGCACACUUAGCACUGGGAAACAGCGCGGCCACGCCGUAAAACCCCCAACUUUAGAAUGUUUGACCUCGAAUCAGGUAGGACUACCCGCUGAACUUAAGCAUAUCAAUAAGCGGAGGA
Molecule: unclassified non-coding RNA, 294 nt
Filed under: Dactylonectria sp.
Lineage: Eukaryota; Fungi; Ascomycota; Sordariomycetes; Hypocreales; Nectriaceae
Description: partial contains 5.8S ribosomal RNA, internal transcribed spacer 2, and large subunit ribosomal RNA
Rfam family: 5.8S ribosomal RNA (bases 1-71)
Source: RNAcentral